Macaca mulatta (Rhesus monkey) is the source of this 402-nucleotide non-coding RNA. NCBI's taxonomy places the organism in Eukaryota, Metazoa, Chordata, Mammalia, Primates, Cercopithecidae. The record is from RefSeq and is a predicted model, not a curated record.
UCACCUCAGGUCAGGAGUUUGAGACCAGCCUGGCCUACCUGGGAAGAAAGGCUUAGCUAUGGAGACAGGCUCAGCCGGAAUGCCAUCCAGCUCCCACCUCCUCACAGUAUUUCACCCUUCUGCCCUGCCUCCGUGAAAUGGGCACACACCAGCCAGUUCAAUCACACAGCACACCUGAAGCUGAGAAAAGCCAUGAAAACAGCUCCAGGCCCCCCGGCUGGCCAUACCCAGAGGGAAGCUGCACUGCCUCUCCGUGCCACACCUUCCUCAUCUGAGAAAUGGACCCUGCCACGACCUCCUCUUGGGCUAUGGUGGCCGAGCCUGGAACGUCCUCCUCCUGACCUCGGGCUUGGCCUCGGAGCUCUCGGCAGUCCAGCCUCUGAUCCGCUCCUGGACGCUGAC